AUUUUUUUUUUAUUUAUUUUUUGGUAUUGCAUACUAGUAGAUUAAAAUAUCAUUGUUUAUGAAUAAUAGAGUAUAAAUGUUAAUUAGGAUUAUUUUUAUUUGUAACAAAUUUAAUUAUAAUUUUAAUGGUAUUGAGAAAACGUAUUUAUUUAUCUGUUUAUUUUUUAGAAAUGGAAAGUGUUUGUUUUUUUUUUAUGGUUUUAAAAAUGUUUUAUUUGGUUUAAUGUUGUGGUUAAAACAUAAAUAUUGGGUGGAUAUAAUUUAUUAUUUUUUUUGGUUAAUUUUUUAACUAAUUUAGAAUUUUUACUUUAGUAAAUUUUUUUAUUUUUGCUUUUUUUGAUUUAGAAUAUUUUUAGAGAACUUUUUUUCUUGUCAAAUGUUUAUUAAAAACUUAGAUUUUUUUAUAAAGUUGUCUUCUGCUCAAUGAAAAUUUUAAAUGGCAGCCUUAGCGUGAUGGCAUAAAAGUAGCGUAAGUGAUUUGUUUUUUUAAUGAUUUCAUGUAUGAAUGGAGUUUUUGACAGGUUUUUUAUAUAUUUUUUAGUUGAAUUAUUUUUUUAAUUAAAAAUUAUUAGUUAAAGUAUUACAAAGAUAAGUCUUCGGAAACUUUUUUAAAUAUUUUAUGAUUUUUUGAGGUAUUUAUUUUUCUUGGGGCUGGAGUUUAAAAAAUUUUUAAAUUCUAUUAUUAAUGUUAAAAGUUACUUCGGAGUUAACAGGGUUACAGACAUAUAAAUAGAAUUGAUAUUAUUAUGCUGUUCUACAUCGAUGUUGUAUAUUUUUUGUAAUUGGGAAGAGAAAGUAAUUUUGUUGAGACUGUUCUUCUUGUAUAAAAAAUAAACUUGAUAUUAGUUUAGUUCGUCGUGAGACAGAGCGGUUUAUCUUGUAUAUUUUUUUUAUUUUUCAGAAUUAGUACGAAAGGAAAAUUAUGAAGGUUAAUAUUGGUAACCUUUAGUAGUAAAUUAAAGAUUCUUU
This 969-nucleotide ribosomal RNA is filed under the name Neofoleyellides sp. XM-2022. RNAcentral's name for it is "16S ribosomal RNA". The record is from RNAcentral. Lineage: Eukaryota; Metazoa; Nematoda; Chromadorea; Rhabditida; Onchocercidae.